RNAcentral lists this long non-coding RNA (751 nucleotides) under Phasianus colchicus (ring-necked pheasant). RNAcentral's name for it is "lncRNA (ENSPCLG00000009158.1)". Lineage: Eukaryota; Metazoa; Chordata; Aves; Galliformes; Phasianidae. The record is from RNAcentral.
AUGGGUGCUAUUGACACCCUGACUUACAAAGGAAAUAAAUGUGGACUUGAUUUGUUAUGCAGUUUCAUAUGCUGUAUUUUUUUUUUUCAUGCAGGUCUGGAUUCCCCAUGCUGUGCUUCCUUUGGGAGAGAGCUCAGCUCUUCGGUGUGGAAAAUAACUCUUGAAUUGACAGAGGAAAUGGUUGUAUCCAACAGUGGGCAAAAUGCUGUCAGAAAUUCAAACACUGCCACUGGAGAAAACCUUAGAUUAUUUCUGCAGAGAUUCCCAGAUCUCUGCUACCACCCUUAGCAUGCCAUGCUAGUGGAAAGUGUCCCUGCCAAGAUGGAGUUCCAGCUGGAUCAGUUUUGGAAGACACUACUUCAAAGGCUCAGUGUCCUGCCAUGAAUCUGCCUGCCAUGCCGACAUCUUGCUUGUUUAUUCUUCUUCCUCUACCACUCAACAGCAGUUGCUGCAUUGACGAAGAGCAUUCCUCUUUUCAGCUAUGGUUUGUUACAAGAUAGGUAAGCUGAAACAUAUGGCUCACAGUAGAAUUGCUUUGGAUAGUGAGGAGAUGAGGGGAUAUGUGGAAAUUAACACUUUUACUAGCUCAAGAGCAAAUGUCUUUUCUGUUUAGAACAUCAUGUCAUUCUUGCAGUUUGCUGUUUGAAUAGCGUGUCAUGAAAGUGGCAUCUGCCAAAUACCAAGCAGGCAUUUCAGUUCUUUGUGUCGUCAUUCUCUGUGAAAUAAAUGGAAGGGGUUUGAACGAAAGACA